This 275-nucleotide ribosomal RNA is filed under the name uncultured soil bacterium. Its description in RNAcentral is "partial 16S ribosomal RNA". It matches the Rfam family "Bacterial small subunit ribosomal RNA", at positions 26 to 282 of the family's 1533-position model. The record is from RNAcentral.
AGAAUCAACGCUGGCGGCGUGCCUCAGACAUGCAAGUCGAACGCGAAAGUUUCCUUCGGGAGGCGAGUAGAGUGGCGCACGGGUGAGUAACACGUAGGUAAUCUACCUUUGGGUGGGGAAUAACAGCCGGAAACGGCUGCUAAUACCGCAUAAUGCAGCGGCUCGACAUCGAGACAGUUGUUAAAGCGGGGGAUUCGUAAGAACCUCGCGCCUAAAGAGGAGCCUGCGGCGGAUUAGCUAGUUGGUAAGGUAAUGGCUUACCAAGGCAUCGAUCC